UACGUAGGGGGCAAGCGUUAUCCGGAUUUAUUGGGCGUAAAGUGCUCGUAGGCGGCCGUUCGCGUCGGAUGUGAAAGCUCAGGGCUCAACCCUGAGACGCCAUUCGAUACGGGACGGCUAGAGGUAGGUAGGGGAAAGUGGAAUUCCUGGUGUAGCGGUGAAAUGCGCAGAUAUCAGGAGGAACACCGGUGGCGAAGGCGGCUUUCUGGGCCUUACCUGACGCUGAGGAGCGAAAGCUGGGGGAGCGAACAGG
Molecule: ribosomal RNA, 253 nt
Filed under: uncultured bacterium
Lineage: Bacteria
Description: partial 16S ribosomal RNA
Rfam family: Bacterial small subunit ribosomal RNA
Source: RNAcentral